Non-coding RNA from Peromyscus maniculatus bairdii (prairie deer mouse), 125 nucleotides. Lineage: Eukaryota; Metazoa; Chordata; Mammalia; Rodentia; Cricetidae. The record is from RefSeq and is a predicted model, not a curated record.
CUGACUUCCGCUAAGCACUGGUGAGGUUUCUCCUCCGAUGCAGUAAGCCAGCUCAAGCCGAACUGGAAAAGCAAAAGAACAGGUUUAUUUGAGCAAAGCAACUCCAGGAGACAAAAGUAAGUAAG